UUCAUUGAAUCUAUCUCCCUCAGUACGUGAGUCAUCUAAUCUCCAUGCUAAUAGAUCUCAGUCCAUCAUGUUAGUCGAUCCCUGAGUCCCGGACAAACAAACCACUGCAUUUGCAUCCACCCAUCCCUUCUGUCAGAGUAAGACGAUUGAUCGAAAUUAAAAGAGCCAAAAGCUGCAGGAAGAGGGAACGAAACAAGCACAUGGGAUUGUAUGGAUGGAAGCAAGACGGUGGUGAUGGGUCAGGAAGGAGAAGGACUGUCGAUCAAGAUCAGGACGACGGCUGGGUGCAGUUGUUGGCGGCGCCGCAGCCGCAGGUUUGCGGAGUGAAGGCGCAGGUGCCGAAGGGCUUGCCGGGGAGGUUGCAGUCGAUGGCGUAGCAGCAGCUCGUGUCCACGCAGCUGCUGCCGUUGCCGUUGUUGGACGACGACGACGCGCAGCACCGGCAACCCUCGCACACCUCGAACGGCUCGUACGGUGCCGCCGCUGCCUCUGCCGUCAUCGCCGCCGGUGUCAUGGACCGGUACACCACUCUCCGCACCGGCACGUACGACGACUCCUCCUCGCUGCUGCUGGCUCCUCCUGCUUGUUUGUUAAUCAAAUAAUUUGCUCAUCAUCAGGGACAUCUUGGAUUUAGAACUGAUAUAUAUAUAUAUAUAUAUAUGACUGGAUCAAAUAAAAACAAGCAUGCAUACCUUGAGCUUGCAGCAGGAAGGAGGAGGAGGAGGAGAAGAUGAGCAGGAGGCCGGCAGAAAGGGCGGUGAAGCCGGUGAGGGAGAUCAUCAUCGUUAUGGGAGCUGAAGGGCGGCGUCGAGCCAUGGCCUCCCCUCCUAACGAAUUUGCUUUGGUGGUGGGUGAUAUAUACUAGUGGAAGGUAGAGCAGAGCGAGCACGACGACGACUAAAAAGCGAAGAAGAACAAAAGCUGAUACCCUUCUUCUUGGGUUAACUAACACCACCACGGCACCACUGUAUGUAAGUGCGUGUGAUGUGACACAAUCUUUCUUUAGCGCCCGUGCGUCGUUUCAGAUAAUCAAGUUACUAACGCACGGUUUCUAAGACCAGUGUCAUUGAGUGUUUCACUAGGAUAUGCAUAUUUAUUAGAGCGUCAUGUCAGCAAAAUUGUACCUUUUGCAUGACACGAAAAGGUGAGAGAAGAAAGUAGUUUCACCAUGGUGAAACCCGCGGGCGUUGUUUCCACGCGGUGAAACGGAAUGAAAUCCCCACUGAGGGCUAAAUCGUUUCACCAUCUUCCAUGUAAUCCAAUCAUUUUGCAGUAAUUAAAUGCUUUGCUUAGCCUUUGAAACAACAAAGUGAAAUGCUUCAUUGCUGGGGUUAUUUCAUAGAUGGUUUCAUUUCAAUCUUGAUGACGUGUUAGUAUGUGAAACCGUGCAGUCUAUUGAGAGUUUGAGACUGAACUAAAAUUCAGGUACCUCAAAUUUAUUUAUUGUACUUGCUCUAUUCAGGAAAGAAUGUAAUCCUAGCUUUUCGAGGAGUUAAACAAUUUAAAAUUUAUCUAAAUUUAUAUAAAAAAACUACUAUAUAUAAUUCAUGAUAUAAAAUAAAUAUCACUAGAUUAGUUAUUGAAUAUAUUUUCUAAUACUAAUAUUAUUUAAUAUAAAUUUGAUCAAACUUGUGUUACUUUAACGAGCACAGAUCCUAUAAUUAUAUUUUUUCUUGGAUGAAAGGAGCAAAAUUCUCUAACCUUGGCCAGUAGUGUCAUCUAAGUCCCUGAACUUCUAAAGUGAUAAAGGAGGGUCCCUAAACUUAACUUGGCUGAUGGUGUUAUCCUUGUCCCUAAACUUUUAAAGUAUUCAAAGUAGGUCCCUAAACUCCCCAAGCGAUACCAUCUCUGUAGGAAUAUAAUCAUAUUAAAAGUUAGCUAUAGUAUUAAAAGUUUUUUCUAUUAAAAGUUCAUUCUAAAUUUAAUAUUAUUUUAAAAGUUUUAAUAAUAUUGUUAUAGAAGUAACUUUUUUAUGUUAUUAAUACUAUAACAUUAUUAUUAUUAUUAUAACUUUUAUUACUAUAAUAUUAUUAUUAAUAGUUGUAAUACUAUAAUACUACUUUUAAAAGUAGUAUAGUAUUAUAAUAUAAUACUCCCUUCAUCCCAAAUUAUAAGACACUCCAAGAAUCUUGGAGAGUUAAAGCAUUUUAAGUUUAAUCAAAUUUAUAUAAUAAGAAAAAUAAUAUUUAUAAUAUUAACUAUGUAUCAUUAAGUUCUUUAUUAAUUAUAUAUUCAUAGUAUAUCUAUUUAAUGUCACAAGUUUUUAUAGUUUUUCUUAUAAUUUGGUCAAACUUAAAAUACUUUGACUCUUAAGAUUUUUGAAAUGUUUUAUAAUUUGAAAGGGAGGGAGUACGAAAGAUGUUAACAAACUUCCACUCUUUUGGCAACAAACUUUGGCAGCAUGUAAACAAUAUGGAAGCUUUCACUCUUUCUAGAAUAUUACAACUAAGGUUUGGCAGCAGGGAAUUAUUAACUUGAUAUAAUCACUCUAUCCCUGAUCGAGUGAGUCAUCUAAUCUGCAUGCUACUAGAUCCCAGUGAAGGAUGGGUCAGGAAGGAUCAUCAGGACGCCGGCUGGCUGCAGUUGUUUGCGGCGCCGCAGCCGCAGGUUUUCGGAAGGAAGGCGCAGGUGCCGAAGGGCUUGCCGGGGAGGUUGCAGUUGAUGUCGUAGCAGCAGUUCGUGUCCACGCAGCUGCUCGGAAUGGACGGCGACACGCAGCACCGGCACCUCCGGCACACCUCGAACGGUUCGUACGGCGCCGCUGCUUCUGUCGACAUCGCCGCCGGUGAUAUGGACCGGUACACC
Molecule: long non-coding RNA, 2805 nt
Filed under: Sorghum bicolor (sorghum)
Lineage: Eukaryota; Viridiplantae; Streptophyta; Magnoliopsida; Poales; Poaceae
Description: long non-coding RNA (SBIC_LNC007537)
Source: RNAcentral